GCGUUGGCCCUAACGUUUUUUGUGGUGGCUGUGAUCGUGCUGGGGCAACCACUGUUGCUGCUGCCAUUGUUGGUGGAUUUUCCGAUGUUUCUGGAACUGCUGGAACGGCAACUGCCUGGGAUUGGAUGAGCGAGUGCCUGGCUGCAGGAUCCCUCGAAAGAUUGGCGUUUCGGC
Molecule: long non-coding RNA, 174 nt
Organism: Drosophila miranda
Lineage: Eukaryota; Metazoa; Arthropoda; Insecta; Diptera; Drosophilidae
Exons: 3
Source: RefSeq, a predicted model, not a curated record